GGGUUGUGAGGUUAAGCGACUAAGCGUACACGGUGGAUGCCCUGGCAGUCAGAGGCGAUGAAGGACGUGCUAAUCUGCGAUAAGCGUCGGUAAGGUGAUAUGAACCGUUAUAACCGGCGAUUUCCGAAUGGGGAAACCCAGUGUGUUUCGACACACUAUCAUUAACUGAAUCCAUAGGUUAAUGAGGCGAACCGGGGGAACUGAAACAUCUAAGUACCCCGAGGAAAAGAAAUCAACCGAGAUUCCCCCAGUAGCGGCGAGCGAACGGGGAGCAGCCCAGAGCCUGAAUCAGUGUGUGUGUUAGUGGAAGCGUCUGGAAAGGCGCGCGAUACAGGGUGACAGCCCCGUACACAAAAAUGCACAUGCUGUGAGCUCGAUGAGUAGGGCGGGACACGUGGUAUCCUGUCUGAAUAUGGGGGGACCAUCCUCCAAGGCUAAAUACUCCUGACUGACCGAUAGUGAACCAGUACCGUGAGGGAAAGGCGAAAAGAACCCCGGCGAGGGGAGUGAAAAAGAACCUGAAACCGUGUACGUACAAGCAGUGGGAGCACGCUUAGGCGUGUGACUGCGUACCUUUUGUAUAAUGGGUCAGCGACUUAUAUUCUGUAGCAAGGUUAACCGAAUAGGGGAGCCGAAGGGAAACCGAGUCUUAACUGGGCGUUAAGUUGCAGGGUAUAGACCCGAAACCCGGUGAUCUAGCCAUGGGCAGGUUGAAGGUUGGGUAACACUAACUGGAGGACCGAACCGACUAAUGUUGAAAAAUUAGCGGAUGACUUGUGGCUGGGGGUGAAAGGCCAAUCAAACCGGGAGAUAGCUGGUUCUCCCCGAAAGCUAUUUAGGUAGCGCCUCGUGAAUUCAUCUCCGGGGGUAGAGCACUGUUUCGGCAAGGGGGUCAUCCCGACUUACCAACCCGAUGCAAACUGCGAAUACCGGAGAAUGUUAUCACGGGAGACACACGGCGGGUGCUAACGUCCGUCGUGAAGAGGGAAACAACCCAGACCGCCAGCUAAGGUCCCAAAGUCAUGGUUAAGUGGGAAACGAUGUGGGAAGGCCCAGACAGCCAGGAUGUUGGCUUAGAAGCAGCCAUCAUUUAAAGAAAGCGUAAUAGCUCACUGGUCGAGUCGGCCUGCGCGGAAGAUGUAACGGGGCUAAACCAUGCACCGAAGCUGCGGCAGCGACGCUUAUGCGUUGUUGGGUAGGGGAGCGUUCUGUAAGCCUGCGAAGGUGUGCUGUGAGGCAUGCUGGAGGUAUCAGAAGUGCGAAUGCUGACAUAAGUAACGAUAAAGCGGGUGAAAAGCCCGCUCGCCGGAAGACCAAGGGUUCCUGUCCAACGUUAAUCGGGGCAGGGUGAGUCGACCCCUAAGGCGAGGCCGAAAGGCGUAGUCGAUGGGAAACAGGUUAAUAUUCCUGUACUUGGUGUUACUGCGAAGGGGGGACGGAGAAGGCUAUGUUGGCCGGGCGACGGUUGUCCCGGUUUAAGCGUGUAGGCUGGUUUUCCAGGCAAAUCCGGAAAAUCAAGGCUGAGGCGUGAUGACGAGGCACUACGGUGCUGAAGCAACAAAUGCCCUGCUUCCAGGAAAAGCCUCUAAGCAUCAGGUAACAUCAAAUCGUACCCCAAACCGACACAGGUGGUCAGGUAGAGAAUACCAAGGCGCUUGAGAGAACUCGGGUGAAGGAACUAGGCAAAAUGGUGCCGUAACUUCGGGAGAAGGCACGCUGAUAUGUAGGUGAAGUCCCUCGCGGAUGGAGCUGAAAUCAGUCGAAGAUACCAGCUGGCUGCAACUGUUUAUUAAAAACACAGCACUGUGCAAACACGAAAGUGGACGUAUACGGUGUGACGCCUGCCCGGUGCCGGAAGGUUAAUUGAUGGGGUUAGCCGCAAGGCGAAGCUCUUGAUCGAAGCCCCGGUAAACGGCGGCCGUAACUAUAACGGUCCUAAGGUAGCGAAAUUCCUUGUCGGGUAAGUUCCGACCUGCACGAAUGGCGUAAUGAUGGCCAGGCUGUCUCCACCCGAGACUCAGUGAAAUUGAACUCGCUGUGAAGAUGCAGUGUACCCGCGGCAAGACGGAAAGACCCCGUGAACCUUUACUAUAGCUUGACACUGAACAUUGAGCCUUGAUGUGUAGGAUAGGUGGGAGGCUUAGAAGUGUGGACGCCAGUCUGCAUGGAGCCGACCUUGAAAUACCACCCUUUAAUGUUUGAUGUUCUAACGUUGACCCGUAAUCCGGGUUGCGGACAGUGUCUGGUGGGUAGUUUGACUGGGGCGGUCUCCUCCUAAAGAGUAACGGAGGAGCACGAAGGUUGGCUAAUCCUGGUCGGACAUCAGGAGGUUAGUGCAAUGGCAUAAGCCAGCUUGACUGCGAGCGUGACGGCGCGAGCAGGUGCGAAAGCAGGUCAUAGUGAUCCGGUGGUUCUGAAUGGAAGGGCCAUCGCUCAACGGAUAAAAGGUACUCCGGGGAUAACAGGCUGAUACCGCCCAAGAGUUCAUAUCGACGGCGGUGUUUGGCACCUCGAUGUCGGCUCAUCACAUCCUGGGGCUGAAGUAGGUCCCAAGGGUAUGGCUGUUCGCCAUUUAAAGUGGUACGCGAGCUGGGUUUAGAACGUCGUGAGACAGUUCGGUCCCUAUCUGCCGUGGGCGCUGGAGAACUGAGGGGGGCUGCUCCUAGUACGAGAGGACCGGAGUGGACGCAUCACUGGUGUUCGGGUUGUCAUGCCAAUGGCACUGCCCGGUAGCUAAAUGCGGAAGAGAUAAGUGCUGAAAGCAUCUAAGCACGAAACUUGCCCCGAGAUGAGUUCUCCCUGACCCUUUAAGGGUCCUGAAGGAACGUUGAAGACGACGACGUUGAUAGGCCGGGUGUGUAAGCGCAGCGAUGCGUUGAGCUAACCGGUACUAAUGAACCGUGAGGCUUAACCUUACAACGCCGAAGCUGUU
RNAcentral lists this ribosomal RNA (2932 nucleotides) under Escherichia coli. Its description in RNAcentral is "bacterial LSU rRNA". It matches the Rfam family "Bacterial large subunit ribosomal RNA". The record is from RNAcentral. Lineage: Bacteria; Pseudomonadati; Pseudomonadota; Gammaproteobacteria; Enterobacterales; Enterobacteriaceae.